Molecule: unclassified non-coding RNA, 1222 nt
Filed under: Hevea brasiliensis (rubber tree)
Lineage: Eukaryota; Viridiplantae; Streptophyta; Magnoliopsida; Malpighiales; Euphorbiaceae
Source: RNAcentral
AGCAGGUCCCAAAGAAAAUGUACCUAAUAAUAUACUGUGCCAACAUAGCACAACAUAGAGAACCUGACUAUCUAAAUAGUUUGAUGACAUGAACACGAGUGAAGCACAGAGGUGAGGGCUCACCCGACCCACAAAAAUCAAGGUCGUGCUCUCUUGUUGCUGCAAGAUGGGCAUUUGUAUUGCUUAAUGUGCUCGGCCCUAGCCGGGGUGAUCUUCACACACUUGCCAUGGAACCACUUUUCACAUAUAUCACAACAAAUCCAGAACUCAUCUGCAGCAUAGUUCUCUCCACAUGCCCCACACAAAGUAUCCCCAUGCUCUUCCUCAUCUUCUUCUUCCAGUCCUUCAUCGUCCUCCCUUGGCUGCCCCUUUGAAUAUUUGCCAGAUUCAGAUCCACGCCCUUUUGAGCUUGACUUGGACUUGGUACUGCUAUGAUUUGAGACUGAUGACUUCUCCUUCACCUGCUUCUUUACAGUUCCCGUCACAACCUCAAAUAUUGUUGGGAGAUCAUUUAUCAUAGUGAAAAGACGUUUCCUGUCAGCUUUAUCAAACCCAAAUCUAGCACCAAAAUAGAAAGCCACAGCAAGUAGCCAUGCAUCACUGUGAACAGCAACUAGAGAAAGCCAGUCUUUUUCUUGCAUCCCAUCUCUGGCAAAGUUAAUACCUAAUGCAGGCUCCGGGAGCUCUGGAGGCACUUCUUCAGCAGGUAAAUUGACUUCCCACUGUUCAUUAGGAAAUCCAUACAGGCAAAGGUUCUCCUUCUCAGGAUCGCACUGUUGAUAGAACUCUUCCACAUCAGUGGUUAGGGCCUUGAUCAUUCCAGCUCUACGGCCCUUAAAGUCCCUGAAAACCUCUUCCACUGUUCGUGGGUUGUACUGUGCCCCACCGUCCAUGUCCGUACAACCCAAGAUAAAUAUCGUUCAACGAGAGAGAUACAGACAAAAAUGGCGACUGAAGGAAAGUGACCAGAAGAGAGAGAGAGGAUAAGAAGGGAAAUCUACAGUUUGAAAGGGGCAACUAUGGAGAUUUUGCUGCCAAGAGAACCAUAAAAACCAACAAGCAUUUCAAACUCACGGCAGCAGAAAGAGAAAUUUGGUGGAUAAAUUUGGGUUUUCUCCUCUUCUAUAAAAGAAGAGGGAAAUGCACACUGACGAGACCAGACCCAAAAGGAUUAUUGCUUGACCUCCCGGCUUAGCAUUUAUUCACUCGCAGUCAUUGGCUC